UACGUAGGGGGCAAGCGUUGUCCGGAUUUAUUGGGCGUAAAGAGCGUGUAGGCGGCCGUACAGGUCAGCUGUGAAAACUCGAGGCUCAACCUCGAGACGUCGGUUGAAACCGUACGGCUAGAGUCCGGAAGAGGGGAGUGGAAUUCCCGGUGUAGCGGUGAAAUGCGCAGAUAUCGGGAAGAACACCCGUGGCGAAGGCGGCUCUCUGGGACGGUACUGACGCUGAGACGCGAAAGCGUGGGGAGCGAACAGG
RNAcentral lists this ribosomal RNA (253 nucleotides) under uncultured bacterium. RNAcentral's name for it is "partial 16S ribosomal RNA". It matches the Rfam family "Bacterial small subunit ribosomal RNA", at positions 524 to 776 of the family's 1533-position model. The record is from RNAcentral.